GAGAGAGAGAGAGAGAGAGAGAGAGAGAGAGAGAGAGAGAGAGAGAGAGAGAGAUGCAGUUGUAUAUAUUAACUUGUAAUGCACAAAUAAACGUGUGUGUGUGUGUGUGUGUGUGUGUGUGUGUGUGUGUGUGUGUGUGUGUGUGUGUGUGUGUGUGUGUGUGUGUGUGUGUGUGUGUGUGUGUGUGUGUGUGUGUGU
Long non-coding RNA from Portunus trituberculatus (swimming crab), 198 nucleotides. RefSeq lists it as uncharacterized. The transcript has 2 exons. The record is from RefSeq and is a predicted model, not a curated record. Lineage: Eukaryota; Metazoa; Arthropoda; Malacostraca; Decapoda; Portunidae.